This 200-nucleotide ribosomal RNA is filed under the name Escherichia coli. Its description in RNAcentral is "partial 16S ribosomal RNA". It matches the Rfam family "Bacterial small subunit ribosomal RNA", at positions 1 to 208 of the family's 1533-position model. Lineage: Bacteria; Pseudomonadati; Pseudomonadota; Gammaproteobacteria; Enterobacterales; Enterobacteriaceae. RNAcentral also lists the same sequence under 1 other name. The record is from RNAcentral.
AAAUUGAAGAGUUUGAUCAUGGCUCAGAUUGAACGCUGGCGGCAGGCCUAACACAUGCAAGUCGAACGGUAACAGGAAGCAGCUUGCUGCUUUGCUGACGAGUGGCGGACGGGUGAGUAAUGUCUGGGAAACUGCCUGAUGGAGGGGGAUAACUACUGGAAACGGUAGCUAAUACCGCAUAACGUCGCAAGACCAAAGAG